AACGCUGGCGGCGUGCUUAACACAUGCAAGUCGAACGGAACACCCUUGACAGAGGUUUCGGCCGAAUGAAGAGGAAUGUUUAGUGGCGGACUGGUGAGUAACGCGUGAGGAACCUGCCUUUCAGAGGGGGACAACAGUUGGAAACGACUGCUAAUACCGCAUGAAGCAGCGAGGGGACAUCCCCUUGCUGUCAAAGAUUUAUCGCUGAAAAGAUGGCCUCGCGUCUGAUUAGCUAGUUGGUGGGGUAACGGCCCACCAAGGCGACGAUCAGUAGCCGGACUGAGAGGUUGACCGGCCACAUUGGGACUGAGAUACGGCCCAGACUCCUACGGGAGGCAGCAGUGGGGAAUAUUGGGCAAUGGACGCAAGUCCUGACCCAGCAACGCCGCGUGAAGGAAGAAGGCUUUCGGGUUGUAAACUUCUUUUAACAGGGAAGAGAAGAAGACGGUACCUGUUGAAUAAGCCACGGCUAACUACGUGCCAGCAGCAGC
Molecule: ribosomal RNA, 491 nt
Filed under: uncultured bacterium
Lineage: Bacteria
Description: bacterial SSU rRNA
Rfam family: Bacterial small subunit ribosomal RNA
Source: RNAcentral